UACGACUACAUAUCAGGCAUAUCAAUAAGCGGAGGAAAAGAAACUAACUAGGAUUCCCUCAGUAACGGCGAGUGAAGCGGGAAGAGCUCAAAUUUGAAAUCUUCAAGGUUCUACCUUGACGAAUUGUAGUUUAAAGAAGUGUUUUCUGUUGAAGUUUUGGUAAAAGUUCUUUGGAAUAGGACAUCAUAGAGGGUGAGAAUCCCGUAUUUGACCAUUAUUUCCAGCUUUGUGAUACACUUUCAAAGAGUCGGAUUGUUUGGGAAUGCAGUCCAAAAUGGGUGGUAAAUUUCAUCUAAAGCUAAAUAUUGGCGAGAGACCGAUAGCGAACAAGUACCGUGAGGGAAAGAUGAAAAGAACUUUGAAAAGAGAGUUAAACAGUACGUGAAAUUGUCAAAAGGGAAGCGUUUGACACCAGUGUUGUUUUCUCGAAAAUCAAUUAAAAAAAGUUGGAUUUUGUGUUGUAUUGACCUUAACAGCUUGCUUCACUCCUUUCCAGCUUUUUUUAAUGCACUUUUCGUUUAACAAGUCAACAUCAGUUUCUUUUGUUGUAAAAGGGUCAUUGGAAGGUGGCUUUCUCUUCGGAGAAAGUGUUUAUAGCCUUUGAUCUCUGCAAUCGGAGAGACUGAGGUCUGCAGCGUAGAUCCCUCGGGGUUAGAUACAUUUGUGCUAAGCUACAGCUUUUCAUAGACAACUUGUUGACUAUGUUUAGUCUUGUAACUUACCCGCUUAUGCUAUUUUACCUACGCUUAGGAUGUUGAGCGCAUGUCUCUCUCU
Molecule: ribosomal RNA, 774 nt
Filed under: uncultured Neocallimastigales
Lineage: Eukaryota; Fungi; Neocallimastigomycota; Neocallimastigomycetes; Neocallimastigales
Description: partial large subunit ribosomal RNA
Rfam family: Eukaryotic large subunit ribosomal RNA
Source: RNAcentral